Acomys russatus (golden spiny mouse) is the source of this 901-nucleotide long non-coding RNA. RefSeq lists it as uncharacterized. NCBI's taxonomy places the organism in Eukaryota, Metazoa, Chordata, Mammalia, Rodentia, Muridae. The transcript has 3 exons. The record is from RefSeq and is a predicted model, not a curated record.
GCGAGGGAGGGAAUUGAUCUUUACCCGGACUCAAAGCUGGAGCCGAGGGAGUGCAGGGGAUUUGGGGUUCUGAAAGGGACUCGGAGCGUGUGUGCUGAGUGGGGAGCCUGUGGGCUUCCUGGCCCGCUUCGCUAAGCCUCGCGACCUUGCAGGAAUCUUCAUGCCUGAGAUCCGCCCGAGCCCGGGCUUUGGAGAAAGUGGCGGCCGCUACGUCCUGGUCUUUAAAAUGAACGCAAAGAAAGGAGGCAAAGCUGAAACCUUGUCGCGUGUCAGAAGCAAGCUGCCGUGAAAUCUACUAAUGAGCACCGACUCGCCCUUCGCGUCUGUUGUGUUUCCUUUCUGAGAUACUCAUUGCUUGUGGACCCUGUGGUGAUGAGGCCGUGGAUCCAGUUCUUGUGUGUGGGAGGAGGGGCAUGCUCCUCUGAAACACGAACUUCAUUGUGGACUUCAAAAGAGAUUUUUCUCGAUAGCAGGAAGUUUGGGUUUGGUCUAACUAUCCGGAGAUCGGUUUCAACUUACGUCCUGAAAUAGAGCUAAGGCUCAACAGGGUACUUUAGUGGUUAUAGCCUCUGAGAUUCAUUUUUAUUUUCCCCAUUCAAUUAAUAAAAUAAAGUAAAAUACAAAACGAUCACGGAGAAGCCUUGCGGAUGUCAGGAGGUCCGCAGGACACUGCGAGGCCCUAGAAACUCUUCCCAGAGGAUAAACACCCCCAGGCGUCAACCAGAUGAACCUUGGCAGUAGCCAAACCCUAUCUGAGAAGCUUCACGCGGGUCGGGCACCAGCCAGGAACCGCUCAAGCGCAGGUGGACCCUCAGCUCACCUGCCCCUCCUUCUUCAAAAACAGGAUUCCUUGGUGUUGGUACCAAAGUUAACUGGCCCCUUUUUCUAUGAAAGUCUAGGG